UCUCCGUUGGUGAACCAGCGGAGGGAUCAUUACCGAGUUUACAACUCCCAAACCCCUGUGAACAUACCAUAUUGUUGCCUCGGCGGUGUCUGUUUCGGCAGCCCGCCAGAGGACCCAAACCCUAGAUUACAUUAAAGCAUUUUCUGAGUCAAUGAUUAAAUCAAUCAAAACUUUCAACAACGGAUCUCUUGGUUCUG
Molecule: unclassified non-coding RNA, 197 nt
Filed under: soil metagenome
Description: partial contains small subunit ribosomal RNA, internal transcribed spacer 1, and 5.8S ribosomal RNA
Source: RNAcentral